UGCUAUUGGGAUUCGACUAAGCCAUGCGAGUCGUGGGGGUUCGGCCCUCGGCGAACGGCUCAGUAACACGUAGAUAAUUUGCCCUUAGGUGGAGGAUACCCUCGGGAAACUGAGAAUAAUACUCCAUAGAUUUAGAAUGCUGGAAUGCUUUUAAAUUGAAAGAUUUAUCGCCUAAGGAUAAGUCUGCGGACUAUCAGGUCGUAGUUAGGGUAAAUACCUGACUAGCCUACGACGGAUACGGGUUGUGAGAGCACUAGCCCGGAGAUGAUAUCUGAGACACGAUAUCAGGCCCUACGGGGCGCAGCAGGCGCGAAAACUUCGCACUGUGCGAAAGCACGACGAGGGAAUCCCAAGUGCUGGCUCGUAAGAGUCAGCUGUUUCUUUGUCUAAAAAACAGAGAGAGUAAGAGCUGGGUAAGACGGGUGCCAGCCGCCGCGGUAAUACCUGCAGCUCAAGUGGUGGCCGCCAUUAUUGGGCCUAAAACGUCCGUAGCCGGUUCUAUAAAUGCCUGGGUAAAUCGUACGGCUUAACCGUACGAAUUCCGGGUAGACUGUUCAACUUGGGACCGGGAGAGGCUAGAGGUACUCCUGGGGUAAAGGUGAAAUUCUGUAAUCCUAGGGGGACCACCAGUGGCGAAGGCGUCUAGCUAAAACGGGUCUGACGGUGAGGGAC
This 672-nucleotide ribosomal RNA is filed under the name uncultured archaeon. Its description in RNAcentral is "bacterial SSU rRNA". It matches the Rfam family "Archaeal small subunit ribosomal RNA", at positions 28 to 705 of the family's 1478-position model. The record is from RNAcentral.